This 459-nucleotide ribosomal RNA is filed under the name uncultured bacterium. Its description in RNAcentral is "partial 16S ribosomal RNA". It matches the Rfam family "Bacterial small subunit ribosomal RNA", at positions 338 to 795 of the family's 1533-position model. The record is from RNAcentral.
CCUACGGGUGGCAGCAGUGAGGAAUAUUGGUCAAUGGACGCAAGUCUGAACCAGCCAUGCCGCGUGCAGGAUGACGGCUCUAUGAGUUGUAAACUGCUUUUGUACGAGGGUAACCCCGAUACGCUUAUCGGCUUUAAAUUAUCGUUCGAAUCAGGAUCGGCUCACUCCGUGCCAGCAGCCGCGGUAAUACGGAGGGUCCGAGCGUUAUCCGGAUUUAUUGGGUUUAAAGGGUGCGUAGGCGGUUUGAUAAGUUAGAGGUGAAAUGUCGGGGCUCAACCCCGAAACUGCCUCUAAUACUGUUGGACUAGAGAGUAGGUGCGGUAGGCGGAAUGUAUGGUGUAGCGGUGAAAUGCUUAGAGAUCAUACAGAACACCGAUUGCGAAGGCAGCUUACCAAACUAUAUCUGACGUUGAGGCACGAAAGCGUGGGUAGCAAACAGGAUUAGAUACCCGGGUAGUC